RNAcentral lists this long non-coding RNA (6018 nucleotides) under Arabidopsis lyrata. RNAcentral describes it as "long non-coding RNA (ALYR_LNC003285)". Lineage: Eukaryota; Viridiplantae; Streptophyta; Magnoliopsida; Brassicales; Brassicaceae. The record is from RNAcentral.
GGAAAAUAAAAGACUCACAUGAAGCGAGGAGAACUAGAAUCCCCACAAACACUACAUUAGAUUUCAUGGUUUUCUUUAUGCUCAAAUUAUUUGAUCCUAAGAUGCUUUGAUUUGUCGUUCUUUGAUGAUAUAUUAUUCUUUUGUAUGCUUUUAUAUAUAUGAAUCCAAGGGACUCCACAUUUUUGGGAAAUUUUUUGGGGAUAAUUAUUUUCUUCAUUUAGCUAAUAAAAUCUCUUUUAUAUGUUAGUAACAAUAAUUUAAGGAAUUUUUUGUUCUCAUAUGAUUUAUUCAAAUAAUUUGACCGAGUGAUUUGAUUUACUACAAUUGUUUUGACCGCAAAAAAAAACGUUGACUACAUUUCGCAAAGUAACAUUUGUAUUUUAUUUUACGAAACAAUUUUGGCCGCACAAGAGUUUGACACAUAAACAAAUUUAGUUUUAAUUUUCUUGGUCAGCUUCUCAUAACACAAAACAAUUACGUGUCACUCUUGCAUAGAUACGGUUUAGUUUUAUUGUAUUGAUAUCCUAAGACUAUGUGCAAUGCUAAAUUUAUUCAACACCUUUCUUUUCACUUUUUAACCUUUCACAUUAGUUUCUCUUUCUUCCACAUAAUAAUUCAACAUCCACCUAAAUUCCUAAUAUUUAAACACUACAAUGGUUUUGUUUAAAUAAUUUCAACAUUCUACCCACUAUUUUUAUUUCAUAUAUAUUUUUAUUUUUUAUUACAUAUUAAUAAUAAUUGUCGAUAAAAUUAAUUAAAAUAUCAACAAAAAUUAAAAUAAAUUAAUGAAGGUGACAUAAUUCAAUAAUUAUUUUAUGUUAUUAUUAAAAAAAUUAUUUUUUUCGUAGGAUUAAUGUUAGAAUCCAUUUCACAAAAACAAAAAUUAAAGAUAUAAACAAGAGUUUAUUAGAGGAUAAUUGUAACACCCCGGUUUCAGGAAUAUGGUGAUGCAUGAAGAGAGAUUUUAAAAAAUUAAUUUGGCCACGUAUGUCACCAAAGUGCACUUAUCUUUUUGGUCAACUGUCCUGAAAGAACUCCUGGGUUAAGCAUGCUUGAGCUGGAGCAAUUUUAUGAUGGAUGACCUUUCGUGAAGUGAUGGUCGGAACUGUGUGAGUGAAGACCAAACAGAGAGAAAUGUGGUAAUUUGUAUGAUCGGUAAAAUUGACAUUAAAGCAUCCCAGAUGUUGCGGAGAGACUGUCGGUUAGGAUGGACCCGACAGAGGACGUGGGUGCUAAUUUGUAGGAACGGUCAGGGUGUUACAAUAAAAUAAAUUUUGAUAGAAAUUAUGUUUUUCUUAUGUGUCUAAAUGAAAUGUACCAAGUCUCUAUUUAUAGAGCAUAAAAAAUUAUGACUUUUCAUAUAAAUUUUUUUUUAAAAAAAAUUGUUUGCUAUAUAAUAAUUAACGUUAAAUAGAGUAGUUGAGAUAAAAAUCUCUAAUAUCUCAAUCGCCAAUAAUAAUUCAGCAAAUAUCAUUGUGUAAAUGAAAAAGAAAUAAAAAAGUGUAGAAGCUUCACUUGCAAAGUCCACGUGCGAAACGCACCUCCCAUUCAGGUAAUGACAUGUAGUACGUAUGUGCUCAAAAAAAAAAAGUUUCAACUAGUUGAAUAAAUUCAACAUCUGUGAAUCCAUGUUAGUUUUUCUUUAUUUUCAAUACCCAUUGCACUAAUUCAAAAGUUGAAUUUGUUUUUUCAACACAUGCAUUGCAAAUAGUUUUAGAUACAAUAGCCGUAACUUAAUUGGACGUCACUUGGUCACUUAAAGAAUAUAAAUGAAUUGGAAUUUGGCUGUAGAAGAUUAAUUGUACUGGUGGUUAAUUAAUGAAGCGAAUAAUAAAAUCAAUAUUUUGUCUACCGUGAGUUAAACUGGUCAUCUACGAUAAUGAGGUCUCGUGUAUGUGUAACAGACGAGAUUUUAAAUGCAUUUACGGGCGACUCGGAUUUAGAAAUAAAGUAAAAAGAAUAAAUGUAUUCAUUUUUCAAAACAAGACCAUGGAUGCGCAAAGCUACAAAUGGAACCACACUCUACAGUGAUGAUCAAGCAGCCACUCACGUAGCUUCGAACCCGCUUUUUUACGAGAAUAUAAAGGACAUCAAAAAUCGGAUCCGUGAAAAAAAAUGUUACAUAUAUCAAAUAUAAUUUUAUAUAUCAAGAAAAGACCAAGGUCGUGAUAGUCAAAACGAUAAUUAAUAAUGGUUUUAUUUGCUUCUCUCCUUUUUUCUAUUAUUUAUUUCUUAUCAUGAUACAUUUAAAAUUUUAUGAACAUAUGCAUUUGCCAUUAAUACAUGUAAAGCCCAACUUUCUCUUAACGAAAGUACAGUAAAUAAAACAAUAUUGAACACUUGAACAAUUCUCACUCCACCAAGCAUUAAUACCCUCUGACAUAUUAUCGGUUAAUUCCCCCAAACUCCUCACUGCUUCCACCUUCUUCAUCUCCUCUCCCCACAAUAUACCUAAUAUUUUUGUAAGUAAACAACAAAUUUCAACAAAAAAUUAAUUCUAACAAAAUAAAUACUAACUUAAUUAUAAAUAAUUUUACUAUAUGUAUGGAAAAUAAAAGACUCACAUGAAGCGAGGAGAACUAGAAUCCCCACAAACACUACAUUAGAUUUCAUGGUUUUCUUUAUGCUCAAAUCAUUUGAUCCUAAGAUGCUUUGAUUUGUCGUUCUUUGAUGAUAUAUUAUUCUUUUGUAUGCAUUUAUAUAUAUGAAUCCAAGGGACUCCACAUUUUUGGGAAAUUUUUUGGGGAUAAUUAUUUUCUUCAUUUAGCUAAUAAAAUCUCUUUUAUAUGUUAGUAACAAUAAUUUAAGGAAAUUUUUUGUUCUCAUAUGAUUUAUUCAAAUAAUUUGACCGAGUGAUUUGAUUUACUACAAUUGUUUUGACCGAAAAAAAAAUGUUGACUAUAUUUCGCAAAAUAACAUUUGUAUUUUAUUUUACGAAACAAUUUUGGCCGCACACGAGUUUGACACAUAAACAAAUUUAGUUUUAAUUUUCUUGGUCAGCUUCUCAUAACACAAAACAAUUACGUGUCACUCUUGCAUAGAUACAGUUUAGUUUUAUUUUAUUGAUAUCCUAAGACUAUGUGCAAUGCUAAAUUUAUUCAACACCUUUCUUUUCACUUUUUAAUAUUUCACAUUAGUUUCUCUUUCUUCCACAUAAUAAUUCAACAUCCACCUAAUCAGGGCCGGCCCAGACCUAAAGUCCAGCAAGCAGAUGUUUUAGGCAUCAAAUCUUAUAUGUAUUUUAAAGGGCAUCAAAAUAUUAAAAGUGUUUUGUAAUCUAGUGGUAUUUGGGACCUCUAAAGGUAGACGGUCGUGGGUUCAAUCCCUGAAGAUUUUAACAUUUUUUUUAUUUUUAGUUGUUGUAAAUGGGCAUCAAAUUUUGUUGGGCUUUAGGCAUCACGAAUCUUUGGGCCGUCCCUGCACCUAAUAUUUUAAACACUACAAUGGUUUUGUUUAAAUAAUUUCAACAUUCUACCCACUAUUUUUAUUUCAUAUAUAUUUUUUAUAUAUUUUUAUUUUUUUAUUACAUAUUAAUAAUAAUUCUCGAUAAAAUUAAUUAAAAUAUCAACAAAAAUUAAAAUAAAUUAAUAAAAGUGACAUAAUUCAAUAAUUAUUUUAUGUUAUUAUUAAAAAAAUUAUUUUGCGUAGGAUUAAUGUUAGAAUCCAUUUCACAAAAACAAAAAUUAAAGAUAUAAACAAGAGUUUAUUAGAGGAUAAUUGUAACACCCCGGUUUCAGGAAUAUGGUGAUGCAUGAAGAGAGAUUUUAAAAAAUUAAUUUGGCCACGUAUGUCACCAAAGUGCACUUAUCUUUUUGGUCAACUGUCCUGAAAGAACUCCUGGGUUAAGCGUGAUUGAGCUGGAGCAAUUUUAUGAUGGAUGACCUUUCGUGAAGUGAUGGUUGGAACUGUGUGAGUGAAGAUCAAACAGAGAGAAAUGUGGUAAUUUGUAUGAUCGGUAAAAUUGACAUUAAAGCAUCCCAGAUGUUGCGGAGAGACUGUCGGUUAGGAUGGACCCGACAGAGGACGUGGGUGCUAAUUUGUAGAAACGGUCAGGGUGUUACAAUAAAAUAAAUUUUGAUAGAAAUUAUGUUUUUCUUAUGUGUCUAAAUGAAAUGUAACAAGUCUCUAUUUAUAGAGCUUAAAAAAUUAUGACUUUUCAUAUAAAUUUUUUUUAAAAAAAAUUGUUUGCUAUAUAAUAAUUAACGUUAAAUAGAGAAGUUGAGAUAAAAAUCUCUAAUAUCUCAAUCGCCAAUAAUAAUUCAGCAAAUAUCAUUGUGUAAAUGAAAAAGAAAUAAAAAAGUGUAGAAGCUUCACUUGCAAAGUCCACGUGCGAAACGCACCUCCCAUUCAGGUAAUGACAUGUAGUACGUAUUUGCUCAAAAAAAAAAAGUUUCAACUAGUUGAAUAAAUUCAACAUCUGUGAAUCCAUGUUAGUUUUUCUUUAUUUUCAAUACCCAUUGCACUAAUUCAACAGUUUAAUUUCUUUUUUCAACACAUGCAUUGCAAAUAGUUUUAGAUACAAUAGCCGUAACUUAAUUGGACGUCACUUGGUCACUUACAGAAUAUAAAUGAAUUGGACUUUGGUUGUAAAAGAUUAAUUGUUCAGGUGGUUAAUUAAUGAAGCGAAUAAUAAAAUCAAUAUUUCAUCUACCGUGAGUUAAACUGGUCAUCUACGGUAAUGAGGUCUCGUGUGUGUGGAACAGACAAGAUUUUAAAUGCAUUUACGGGCGACUCGGAUUUAGAAAUAAAGUAAAAAGAAUAAAUGUAUUCAUUUUUCAAAACAGGACCAUGGAUGCGCAAAGCUACAAAUGGAACCACACUCUACUGUGAUGAUCAAGCAGCCACUCACGUAGCUUCGAACCCGCUUUUUACGAGAAUAUAAAGCACAACAAAAAUCGGAUCCGUGAACAAAAAAUGUUACAUAUAUCAAAUAUAGUUUUAUAUAUUGAGAAAAGACCAAUGUCGUGAUAGUCAAAACGAUAAUUAAGAAUGGUUUCAUUUGCUUCUCUCCUUUUUUCUAUUAUUUAUUUCUUAUCGUGAUACAUUUAAAAUUUUAUGAACAUAUGCAUUUGCCAUUAAUACAUGUAAAGACUAACUUUCUCUUAACGAAAGUACAGUAAAUAAAACAAUAUUGAACACUUGAAAAUUCUCACUCCACCAAGCAUUAAUACCCUCUGACAUAUGAUCGAUUAAUUCCUCAAAACUCCUCACUGCUUCCACCUUCUUUAUCUCCUCUCCCCACAGUAUACCUAAUAUUUUUGUAAGUAAACAACAAAUUCCUACAAAAAAUUAAUUCUAACAAAACAAAUACGAACUUAAUUAUAAAUAUUUAUACUAUAUGUAUGGAAAAUAAAAGACUCACAUGAAGCGAGGAGAAAUAGAAUCCCCAUAAACAUUACAUUAGAUUUCAUGGUUUUCUUUAUGCUCAAAUUAUUUGAUCCUAAGAUGCUUUGAUUUGUCGUACUUUGAUGAUAUAUUAUUCUUUUGUAUGCUUUUAUAUAUAUGAAUCCAAGGGACUCCACAUUUUUGGGAAUUUUUUCGGGGAUAAUUAUUUUCUUCAUUUAGCUAAUAAAAUCUCUUUUGUAUGUUAGUAACAAUAAUUUAAGGAAAUUUUUUGUCUCAUAUGAUUUAUUCAAAUAAUUUGACCGAGUGAUUUGAUUUACUACAAUUGUUUUGACCGCGAAAAAAACGUUGAAUACAUUUCGCAAAGUAACAUUUGUAUUUUAUUUUACGAAACAAUUUUGGCCGCACAAGAGUUUGACACAUAAACAAAUUUAGUUUUAAUUUUCUUGGUCAGCUUCUCAUAACACAAAACAUUUACGUGUCACUCUUGCAUAGAUACGGUUUAGUUUUAUUGUAUUGAUACCCUAAGACUAUGUGCAAUGCUAAAUUUAUUCAAUACCUUUCUUUUCACUUUUUAACACUUCACAUUAGUUUCUCUUUCUUCCACAUAAUAAUUCCACAUCCACCUAAUAUUUAAACACUACAAUGGUUUUGUUUAAAUAAUUUCAACAUUCU